Molecule: non-coding RNA, 230 nt
Filed under: Comamonas aquatica
Lineage: Bacteria; Pseudomonadati; Pseudomonadota; Betaproteobacteria; Burkholderiales; Comamonadaceae
Source: RNAcentral
GGCGGUAACCACGUUAUCGGUGCCCAGGUCGGUCACGCCCUGGGUUAAACGGGAAACAGGUGCGCGCUAUCCCCCGAUGGAUGCAAUGCCUGUGCUGCCCCCGCAACGGUAAGUGCGAGUCUGUGGAACCUGUGCCACUGGGACGACAACGUCCUGGGAAGGCGUUCCACAUGUCCGGUUAACCGGACCAACGCACCAGCCCGGAGACCGGCCGAAACGUACAGAGUCGG